GGUGUAAAGGGAGCGCAGGCGGAAAGACAAGUUGGAAGUGAAAACCAUGGGCUCAACCCAUGAAUUGCUUUAAAACUGUUUUUCUUGAGUAGUGCAGAGGUAGAUGGAAUUCCCGGUGUAGCGGUGGAAUGCGUAGAUAUCGGGAGGAACACCAGUGGCGAAGGCGGUCUACUGGGCACCAACUGACGCUGAGGCUCGAAAGCAUGGGUAGCAAACAGGAUUAGAUACCCUGGUAGUCCAUGCCGUAAACGAUGAUUACUAGGUGUUGGGGGAUUGACCCCCUCAGUGCCGCAGUUAACACAAUAAGUAAUCCACCUGGGGAGUACGACCGCAAGGUUGAAACUCAAAGGAAUUGACGGGGGCCCGCACAAGCAGUGGAGUAUGUGGUUUAAUUCGAAGCAACGCGAAGAACCUUACCAGGUCUUGACAUCCGAUACAUAGCACAGAGAUGUGUGAAAUCCUUCGGGACAUCGAGACAGGUGGUGCAUGGUUGUCGUCAGCUCGUGUCGUGAGAUGUUGGGUUAAGUCCCGCAACGAGCGCAACCCUUAUUGCCAGUUACUACGUUAAGAGGACUCUGGCGAGACUGCCGUUGACAAAACGGAGGAAGGUGGGGAUGACGUCAAAUCAUCAUGCCCUUUAUGACCUGGGCUACACACGUACUACAAUGGCGUUAAACAAAGAGAAGCAAGACCGCGAGGUGGAGCAAAACUCAAAAACAACGUCUCAGUUCAGAUUGCAGGCUGCAACUCGCCUGCAUGAAGUCGGAAUUGCUAGUAAUCGCGGAUCAGCAUGCCGCGGUGAAUACGUUCCCGGGCCUUGUACACACCGCCCGUCACACCAUGAGAGCCGGGGGGACCCGAAGUCGAUAGUCUAACCGCAAGGAGGACGUCGCCGAAGGUAAAACUGGUGAUUGGGGUGAAGUCGUAACAAGGUAGCCG
RNAcentral lists this ribosomal RNA (939 nucleotides) under uncultured bacterium. RNAcentral describes it as "bacterial SSU rRNA". It matches the Rfam family "Bacterial small subunit ribosomal RNA", at positions 557 to 1502 of the family's 1533-position model. The record is from RNAcentral.